RNAcentral lists this transfer RNA (92 nucleotides) under Actinoplanes regularis. Its description in RNAcentral is "tRNA-Gln". The record is from RNAcentral. Lineage: Bacteria; Bacillati; Actinomycetota; Actinomycetes; Micromonosporales; Micromonosporaceae.
CGCGGACGGGCCGGGGCCGGCUACGGCGGGUUCUUCUGGCGCGCCCCGGCCGGUCCGGAACCGGUCCACGCGUUCGGGCAGCGUGCCGGCGG